UUUUAUCGUAGUCAUUUCAAACCAGUUCACUGAAAAAAAUAGAUUUUUGUUGAAAUACCGAAGAAGCUUCCUAAUUUCGUGCGAAUAAUUAAUAAUAUUGUUGUUACAGGCGUAUUAAAUAAGGAUGGGAACAAGUGAUCAACAAAUUCAUCCUGCAAACGAAGCUACUCCAGAAGGACUUCCAUCACUUAUCAGAUUCAUCAGUUCUGAAAUGGAUCAUGAUUUUGAUGCCAUAGUGAAUGACCAUAUUAAUAAUCAGUCUGCGCUUGCACCAGAUUCUAACUCUUCAAACUCAGCAAUUAUGAUAUCUGAAGCUGCUGCUGCUGAGCGAGAGAGCGAAAAAAUUCAUGCAGUUUCCAUUAGCAUGCCACCCACUCCGAAAAAAGUUGGUUUUGCUGAGUCUAUAGAAGCUCCUGAUUCUGCUGCUGCUGCUACAUCAAAAGAUAGUAAAACUAAGUUUUAUUCUCAGCCUAUGCCGAGAGCUAAUACUACUAAUGCAUCUUUAGCUGGAGUUCAUGCUAGCUGUGAACUUCCUAGGCAUCCUAGGAUUAGCAAGUUGAAGGAUAAAAGAUUUGACAGCUUCAAGACAUGGUCUGGUGGGCUUGAGAGACAAUUAUCAAAUUUGCGCGGAAAUAGGAACCAGGAAACAGAACAAGAGUCUGUAGCUCAACCCUGUGCUGAACCGGAACCUAAUACUCCGGUUAAUAUUCCUGUGGAUCGAUUUUUUGAUGCCUUGGAGGGACCAGAACUUGAUAAGCUAAGGGCUUCAGAGGAAAGUAUCCUUCCAGAGGACAAGACAUGGCCAUUUCUACUCCGUUAUCCUAUUUCAUCGUUUGGUAUCAUACUUGGCGUUAGCAGCCAAGCUAUAAUGUGGAAAGCCUUGGCCACUUCUGCCUCCACCAAAUUCCUCCACAUAAGCAUGGAUGUAAACCUUGUGCUCUGGUGGAUCUCUGUUGUCCUGAUGGCGAUUGUUACUUUCACUUAUGCGCUGAAAAUCAUUUUCUACUUUGAAGCAGUUCGUAGGGAGUACUACCACCCGAUACGUGUUAACUUCUUCUUUGCUCCAUGGAUAGCACUUCUAUUCUUAGCACUUGGACUUCCACCUUCAGUCUAUCAAAACCUUCCUCAUGCUUUAUGGUAUGUCCUUAUGACACCAUUCUUAUGUUUGGAGCUCAAGAUUUACGGACAAUGGAUGUCUGGUGGUCAACGAAGGCUCUCAAAGGUAGCCAAUCCAUCGAAUCAUCUCUCAGUUGUGGGAAAUUUUGUUGGUUCCUUGCUUGGUGCAUCCAUGGGACUUAAAGAAGGACCGAUUUUCUUCUUUGCUGUUGGAUUGGCUCAUUACACGGUUCUGUUUGUAACUCUCUACCAAAGACUUCCAACAAAUGAGACACUCCCAAAGGAGCUACAUCCUGUGUUCUUUCUAUUUGUUGCUGCCCCUAGUGUUGCUUCUAUGGCAUGGGCAAAUAUCCAAGGGUCCUUUGAUUUUGGUGCACGGAUCGCCUACUUCAUUGCCUUGUUCCUUUACUUCUCACUGGCUGUUCGGAUUAAUUUCUUCCGAGGCUUCAGGUUCUCAUUGGCUUGGUGGGCUUA
Molecule: unclassified non-coding RNA, 1590 nt
Filed under: Hevea brasiliensis (rubber tree)
Lineage: Eukaryota; Viridiplantae; Streptophyta; Magnoliopsida; Malpighiales; Euphorbiaceae
Source: RNAcentral